This is a long non-coding RNA of Varanus komodoensis (Komodo dragon), 5736 nucleotides long. RefSeq lists it as uncharacterized. NCBI's taxonomy places the organism in Eukaryota, Metazoa, Chordata, Lepidosauria, Squamata, Varanidae. The transcript has 4 exons. The record is from RefSeq and is a predicted model, not a curated record.
CUGCUAGAGGACCAUCAACUGCUCGGAAGGCACAUGGAGAACUGUCCUGCCCGUGUCUGCUUUAAUGAUAAGGAACCAUUGGGAAGAAGAGCUGGGCCCCGAAGUGCCCAUCAGCAGCACCAGGACUGCCCGCUUUCAGCCAUGAGCCCAGCUGCAUCUGCCAGGCAUCAGGGACAGGUCCUCUCAUUCAUCCUGGAGAUGCCAAAGCUGCUGGAGGCCUGCAGCAUCUCCUCAUCCACUGGCUACAGUACAGCCCAGCUCAAGGAAAGCGCUGUGGUGGCAGCCAAUCAAGACGGAGGCCCUGUGCCAGCCACAUGUACAAUUGCAGCAUCUUCCUCUCCUAAUGGUAUGUGCGGUUGAAUGAAGGCUCUUGGGGAGUUUCUUUGACGUUGUUGGCUGUACACCAUCCACGGAGAGCUUCCCCUGUGGCUACACUGAGAGGAGGCAUGUAAGUAUAUUGGUGGCUGCUAUUGCAAGUGACGGUUACAGUCUUUGAAAAAUAUUUCCUGCAUCAGUAAAUUGAAUUAGAAGAUGUCGUUGGUUAGAAUGUGCAUUCCGUCUCCACAUCUGCAAAUAAUGGCUGCAGCGAGCACACUGGUUUUAUGGCUGUUUAGAUUUUUGAAAUUAGUCGUAUGUUUUAAAUGCAAUGCACUCUGGGAGAUCUUGCACUGGCUGGAGAAAAAAUAAUUAACUUUAAAAAAUGGGACACAUGCCAUACUGGAAAGCAUGCUUGUCCUCACUCUGAACAUACCCUACGUAACCCAAAGUGGUCAUUUCCAGCAUAUAAAACUCUCCAAAUUCUUAGUCAAUUGUGUCAACACAAUGCUGCUUUCUCACAUUAAGCUGUUUUAGGGGCAACCCAAAACUCAUGUACUUCAGAGAGGAUAUGUGGAAGCUGUCAGUGUCUGUAACCAAGAUAAUUUCUGCUUCCCAGACCAAUACGGGGCCCAGAACUUUGACCAACACUUUUCUGAAUGCCAAAAUGCAACUCUCAGCUUAAAAAGUGUACAUGCGGAUAAGCCUCUUAGGGAAAACUGAAUGCCAAAAUGCAUAGCUAACUGGCACUUACUACAGAAAUGAGCACAUUGAGGAAAAUUGCAUAAAAUGCAUGUAUAUUGGGAAAUGGCUUCUGAAAAUAAAUGCAAAUUUUAAUAUUGGGAACUGAUACUGAAUUUGAAUGCAAUGGUCUUUUGACUGAAUGCAUGCAAUACCGACAAAAAGAGGACAUAGACUGAUUUCUUUGUGCCUACAUGAGAGUGAGUGCAUCAACACUGAGACCAACUUCCAAAAAAAAAAAAAAAAAAAUCAUCUAAUUACGCUGUUAAUCUAAUACUGAUGAACAAAGCCUGGGGAACUUUAUUGUUCUGGCAAAGUUUUCACGGUUUGCCUCAGAAUGCCUACAGGUGCUUACGCCUUAGCAGGCCUUUCUACAUUUUGCUCAAACAUCAUUUGUAUGUUUCCUCCCCUCUUUCAUUCAUCUUAAACACAAUUCAGUGGGAAAAUUGCAGUGUGUGAUCUUGUGUAACAGCACAGCAAUUCCAGUGGGGCUUGUAGCACAGGUAUUUCAAUAGUCUGCAACUAUUGUAAGGACAAUGAACAGACCAGUUCAGCGUGGAGUGUGCAGGAUUAGCUUCCAAGACCGUUCUACUAGCAUGUUCCCCUCUGUGAAAACGGAGGCCCAUCUAUCUCCAAGCUUUGCUACACUGGCUACCACUGGCUUCAUUCAGCUGGUUAGAGAUGCGGAGAAAGUGCUUCAGUAGCAUUUAUGGCAAGCUCAGCUAAUCUACACUUUCUGAACCAAUACACACUGUUGAACUUAGAAAGGGCAUAAAUGACUCGGUUGCCAGCUGUAAUGCAGGACAAAUACUAUUUCAUCUGUCCUUCUCGUCAGGGCAGUGAGCACCACAUGGGAUAUGUGAGGUUAUCUUUUGGUUUUCCAUUUUUCGUUUAUCUUUUACUUUUUCCAAACUGGAGAGAUUUUAAAAAAAUGCCAUUAAUUGGAACUUAGUCGAAGUUUUUGCAUUGAAAUGUAUUACAUUUAACAUGCAAAUAACUGUGAUUUAAGUGUUACUUGAAUAACUGAUGAUGUCUAUGUGCUAAUCAUUAAAAUUGAUUAGCUGAAACAAGUUAUCAAUCAACAUGCUGAAACAAGUUAUCAAAGCUUUGAUCUGACUAGAUCAAGUAUGGCUGACUACAAGUUGACAGAGGAUGCAGAUAUAAAUUGGUAGUGGAAUUGGUUGUUUUAGAUGCAGAUAGCAGAAAAGCUGUUGCCAUUGUUUCUCCCAAUGCUGAAAAGUCCUUUGAUUGAAUGUAUGAGAAAUUUAUUUUUUGCAAUGUUGAGAAGCCGUACUUUUUCAGUGGCAUUCUUGAAAUGGGUUCAAAUUCUGUAUUCCACUGUAAAAUAUAGAGUUAUAAUGAAUAGGUUUCUCUCUGAUUUUUUUCUUACUGAGGCAAGGUACUAGACUAGGAAGCUCACUUUUUCCUGUGAUAUGUAUGCGCAAAACAUUUGGCCUGUUCCGUAAGAGAAAAUAGCAGUAUUUGUGACUUUUGGUAUAAUUGUCUAGAAUUUUAAAAAAUAUAUCUUUACACUAAUGAUCCUUCACUGCUUAGUUGCAAAUUUCAGCUGUCAGUUCCAGCUUUGAUAGAGUUGAUCAUAACUUUUGGUCUUUUAUCAAGCUAUACAAUUACCUUGUCAAAAUCCAAGUUGUUGCCUAUUGGAGACACAAUUCCCCACAAUAUAUUGGUAAUCUGCCAGUUCUGAUGUUGCCUAGACUAUAUCACCUAGCUGGGGAUUCUUAUUCCCAAAGAUAUACCUCCAAUGAUUACGUGAAGCUUUGACAAACAGGUUGCUGAGAUGGCAUGAGUUACACAUAGAUGGCCAUCCUCAAAUCUGAGUCUAUGAUGGAAAGUAAACACUUAAGGUGAACAUCAUACCCUGAAUUAUGUACAUUUUAUGUGAGAUUCCUCUCUUUAUACCUCGUCAAUAUUUUCAAAAACUGAAUAGCUUGUUUCAUAAAUGUUAUAGCCUUUAUUCCACCAUGAAUAUCUUUGAAAAAUGCAGUUGUCAAAAGAGACUAGUUUUGCUUUCAUUGAUCUUGCUUUAUAUUGCUGGCCUUUUUUUUUUCUUGGAAUCGCCAUGUCUGGACCCUCUCUCCUAAUGGAUUGAACUUGGUCCUCACUAUAUAAAACAGAGAGGAUGCCUCCUGCAGUUGCAACAGUAAGAGAGGUGGGGCAUUCAGUGGCAUGCCAACUGUAGUUCAAUCCAUUUUCUCAUACCAGAUUCAACCGAAGAGAAAACCCAAAUGUAGACCCAAAUGUUUAAGCACAUUUUUACACUAGAUCAAUUAGUAGAAGUAGAAGAAGAAGGUGAUUAUGUUAAUACUAGUUCCCCUCUACUUAACAGUACUCAUCAGAAGUACUGUGUCCUGUUCUGGGUUCCACAGUUUAAGAAAGAAGACCAGAGGGAAAGAGUUCAAAGGAGGGCAACAAGGAUGAUCGGGGGCCUGCAAACAAAGCCCGUUGAGGAGAGAUUGAAAGAAUUAGGCAUUGAAAGAGAUAGGAGCUGGAAUUGAAAGAGAUAUGAUAGCAACCCACAAGUAUGUGAAAUGUCACACAGGAGGCCAGGAUAUCUUCUCCAUCAUUUCAGAGUGCAAGACAGUGGAAUAAUGGACUCAGGUGACAAGAAACCAGAUUCAGACUGGAUAACAGGAAGAACUUCCUGAGUGUUAGAGCAAGUAGGAAAUGGAACCAAAGACCGAGGGAGGCGAUGGGCUCUCCCACACUGAAGGCAUUCAAGAUGCAACUGGACAGCCAUCUGAGAGGGAUGAUUUAACUGGUAAUCCUGCACUGGGUUGGGGGUUGGACCUGAUGGCCUUCUUGGCUCCUUCCAGCUCUACCGUUCUAGGAUAACUUUUUCUCAUUUUCCACUCUUGUUGCCAAAUAUGGUUUGCCUGUAACUCUGAACCACAUUAUAUUCAGUUGAAGCAUUUGUUAGAAUCAUAUUUCAGCCCUGCAGCUUGCGCACAUGGUGGGCAUGUCGUGAGCCGAAGCCUACUGGAGCCGGGGUCAGACUAGAUGGCCCAGGAGACCCCCCCUCUGACUGUUUCAGAGAGACACAGCUCUGUUUCUGUGUUUCUUUGCUGCUGCAAAGCCUCCUCCACUUUCAGCUGGUCAGACGUAUCAGCCCACAUGAUGGCUGAAUAAAUGUUUACUAUCACUAAACAAAUGCGACAAAUAUGACAUAUUGGAUCAUUAGCAAGAAUCAAAUAAUGAAUUAAGUUGCCCUAUUUUGACUGAUGAAUGGAAUGUUGCAUUAGCACCCAUUUUUGAAGUGUCAGUGGAGCAUAGGUUACCAUCUUACUUAGCAAAUAUCUUGUUCCAUGUUUACUGGAUGGCUCAACAUCUUUUCAGUAGAGACCUUGCUAAAUUGGAUAAAUGCUGAAGGUUUGACAUAGCAAAUGCUUCCUUCACCUAGGUGUUUGCUUAACAACUGCCUGCUUUUGGGAUGAGGUUUACUACAGAUGGAUUUUAUAAUAGGACCCUUUAAUUUUAGGAAUGUACAUGUCCUAGUUAAGUAUUUACCCACAUCUAAAUCAAUGGAAGAUCAAUGUGAAUAGAUUUUCCAUGCUCUAAUGAAAGUUAAACACUGGAAGGAUAAAUGGCCAUCCUGAGUAAUGCAAUGGAGUGAAUAUCUAUUGCUCCUUUCAGUUUUUGAAUGGAUGACACCAGUGCAGGAAUAGAUACCUGGGUACACAGCCUGCCUUUGUUGAAAUACUGUAUAUGCCUAACUACUUCUGGUAAGAGCAGAAUAUGUCCUUAUAUGCAUGGGAUACAGAAUUGUAGGCACUCCAUAUGUAUACUUAGCAACUGAUGCAUUGAACCUUUUUUUUUUUUUUUUACCUUUGGGUUUCUUAUAACUUUUUGAAAAUUCAGAGUAAACAUUAUUUUUUAAAAAGAUCUUUCAGUUUUCACUUCCCCAAAUUUUGUACUUUACUUCUCUGAUUUAAAAAUGCACAUGAAAAUGUCUGUCUUGGUUUGUCUGUGUUCUUGUGGAAAAAUUUAAGUUCUGCACACUGUGAAACUGACAGAAAUGGAAACAUACAGCUUCAGCCAUCCACAACCUUCCCUUCCUCAGUCCCAGCACAAUGGACUCAUUCUGCCAAAUGUGGCUGUUUGUGGCACAUGUUACACUGAGCAGGGAAGCUCCAAUCGGUGAGUGUCACCCCGCUUCUCAUUUUCCUAGCGCUAAGCUCAUUUUGGCUGUGUUCUGUAUCAGGAGAAAAGGUAGUGCAAAACAGGCAUUGCUGUACACUUUCUCUAGCAUGUAUAAUUUUUGCAAGUAAUUCUUUCCUGAUAUAAUGCAUUUGGCACACAUGAUCCUGUAACAGAUAUUUUGUUUGCAUGUUGCAUUACUGUAUGAAAGUUUUGUGGUCCAAAGGGGAGAUUUCAGUAUAUGUUGGUAAGUCCAUAUAUAUGGGUAGAAAUAUAUUUGAAGAGUGAGGUAGAUGAAACCAGAUUUAUUUAUUUACUUAUUUACUUAAAGUUUUUCUAUGCUGUCCCAUUACUAAAAGUCUCUGUAUGGCCUACAAAGGACAAAAACCCAAAAAACUAAGAACAAAAAACCUCAACACCACCAACACCAAUAUUCUGCUCUUCAAGAAUUAAUGUGCACCUAUAACUGUAGUGUAAAAGUGUCUCUCUCACACACACAAACACACACACACACACACACACACA